UGUUUUCACUCGACGUGAGAUAGUUACGACAAAACAACAGGCACGUGAAUGCAUCAGUAAUGUAAGAGCGCCUAACAUAAUGACUACUAACUUAUGUUUGCUAACUCUUCCCACUCGCUGUCGUCUUCCGUUUUCUCAUCGUCCUGAAUGUCGUCACUCCGUCUCUGUUCCCGCCUCUAAAACUUGAUAGUUCGUAGUUGUUUACCGUCACUAAUCGGUACAAAAGACUGACACUCGUCAAGCCCAUUUACAACGAUAAGGAACAGCGAUGCAUUCAGGUUUCAAGAUGUUAGAAUAAUGAAAAAGACCUCCACGUGACUGUAUGUAUUUUUGUAUAGCUAACCCUGGCUGAUCUCUGCAAGGCACAGUUCACUCUGCAUGUCCAUUAACACCUGCAACCAAAUCUUUUUUAGCCCGGCCGGGCUCAAACGCUCCACCGACAUAACAUUAAUGGCAUUGUCACAGUCUAGACUCGUCUGAGGGGAGCGGGCGUAGCCGCGGACGCGCGGCCUCUCGGAGCUGAUACUACUGGCUGCGAUCCCUGGCAUCUGCAGCACGCCGAUUACCAGCUGUCCCUGCCCUACUGCGCCUGUCAAAUCCCAGUAACUGAGGAAUAAACAAACUGUAAACAAAGGCCCUAGUUUAGCACCGCCGCCCACCACAGCAUGACAACAGGUUUGUCACUCUUGCUGUUUGCCGGGGCCGGCGGGGCCCAGAGCCGUGCAGCGAGCAGUAAAAUAAAAAAAAAAAAAAAAAAAAAA
Long non-coding RNA from Betta splendens (Siamese fighting fish), 761 nucleotides. RefSeq lists it as uncharacterized. NCBI's taxonomy places the organism in Eukaryota, Metazoa, Chordata, Actinopteri, Anabantiformes, Osphronemidae. The record is from RefSeq and is a predicted model, not a curated record. The transcript has 2 exons.